This 464-nucleotide ribosomal RNA is filed under the name uncultured bacterium. RNAcentral describes it as "partial 16S ribosomal RNA". It matches the Rfam family "Bacterial small subunit ribosomal RNA", at positions 338 to 795 of the family's 1533-position model. The record is from RNAcentral.
CCUACGGGAGGCAGCAGUAGGGAAUCUUCGGCAAUGGGCGGAACCCUGACCGAGCAACGCCGCGUGAAGGAAGAAGGAAUUCGUUCUGGAAACUUCUGUUAUAAAGGAAGAAAGACGGCUGGAGCACAUGACAUCCGAGUGACGGUACUCUAUGAGAAAGCCACGGCUAACUACGUGCCAGCAGCCGCGGCAAUACGUAGGUGGCAAGCGUUAUCCGGAGUUAUUGGGCGAAAAGAGGGAGCAGGCGGCAGCAAAGGUCAGCGGUGAAAGACUGGAGCUUAACUUCGGUACGCCAUUGAAACCGGGCGGCUAGAGUGCAGGACAGGCACGUGGAAUUCGAGGUGUAGCGGUGAAAUGCGUAGAUAUAUGGAGGAACACCAGUGGCGAAGGCGACGAUCUGGCCUGCAACUGACGCUGAGGCUCGAAAGCGUGGGGAGCAAACAGGAUUAGAUACCCCAGUAGUC